AGUAAUGUAGGUUUAGCAAGAUUCACUAUUAAUCAUGUAUCAAUAUAGGUGGUUAUUCAAUUCACAUUGUGUUCAUGUUUUAAUUUAUGUGUAUCAUGUUUAAGCACAAUUUACACCCAGCAGUCUCAGGAUACUUUUGUCUGUGUUAGAGAGACAGGAUGUGCAGGUUGAAAGCUAUAUUUGGUUGAGCAAUUAUAAAGUUAGGUUCUCUCUUUGAGACAAAGCUGAGAUAGAAAAGUAUGAUAGAUAUAAAACUAUAAAAACGUACUUGUGCAUUGCUAUGUUCCAAAAUAAUAUGAUCAAUGACAGAAAUAAUUAAGGUAUUUCCACAUGUAUACACAACAUGUAUUCCACUUCACUAAUUAGACCAUGCUCAGGCUAAUAUAAUUAGUAAAAAAAAACUAUAAGUUAUAAAUAUAAUCUUUUGAUAUAACCUGUGUGGGAAACCAGGAAAUGGUGAGCACCCAUAAUCUCCAGAAAAAGAUGAAAUUUUGUGUAAUAAUUUGAAAUACACCAUCUAUUUGACUAGCAUAUACAUAAGAACCUAACAGACAAUGAACUGUCUAGGUCACUAAGACAUAGGUGCACUUAAGAAAGGGAAGAAGUGGAGACAGGUAGGAAGGAACAGAAUUAAAAAUAUAACCAGUUUAAGGUCCUUCUUAGAUGAAGGAAACAUGAGGUAAUUGUGAGCAUAAAUUUGUCCAACUGACACCGCCCAAAAUGCUGUAUAAAAAGAGUCAUAUAUUCAGUUGUCUAUUCGAUUGGCUAUCGCCUGUAGUCAGUUAAUGUAUCCGGGGCAGCUCAGUUUACUUGUUAACAUGUAACUGUUGCAAAUAAACCUGCAUGGAGUGAACUUCUGAA
Sander lucioperca (pikeperch) is the source of this 861-nucleotide long non-coding RNA. RefSeq lists it as uncharacterized. The transcript is spliced from 2 exons. Lineage: Eukaryota; Metazoa; Chordata; Actinopteri; Perciformes; Percidae. The record is from RefSeq and is a predicted model, not a curated record.